AUGACUGGCCCGACAGAUUCAUCCUCAACCAGCAAUCUGGAGAUGCAGUCCUUACAACUUGAUGUCCAAACACUGCAGAGAAAUCGAGAGCAGGACAGACAGGACUUUGAGGAUUUCAGGGACCAUGUGCAAGACAAUUUUCAGUCCAUGCAGAAGACUCUGGGAGAAUUACAGGGCACACUUAACAAGUUUAUCUCUGGUUUUCCCAAGCCACGAGAAACCCCACCCAUUCCCCAAGAUAUCCCUCAAGGCAGUGGCCAAAAUCAUACACCGCAAGGCCCAGUGCCUCGGCCAGACGAUGGCCUCCAAACCCCUCCUACUACAGGCUCUGUAACCUUGGUGGAUAAGCACACUGGAAAAGAACUUAACUUGGAUGGCAGCACCAAAAUUCCUUACAGGCACCCCCACUUUGCUGACAACAAACUUCCUCCACUUGAUGCCUGA
This 444-nucleotide ribosomal RNA is filed under the name Triticum aestivum (bread wheat). RNAcentral describes it as "partial small subunit ribosomal RNA". The record is from RNAcentral. Lineage: Eukaryota; Viridiplantae; Streptophyta; Magnoliopsida; Poales; Poaceae.